GAGUACCAGGCCUGGGGAGGCCCCUCGCGGCGCCUGCUGCCCCGGGGUCCCGGGAGUCGUUGGGCGCUCCCUCGCCCCCGAGCCGGACUCCCUCCCUGCCAGACCCUCGCCGGGUUUCCUAGGGCCUCCCCUCCGCCGGGGGUCACUUCCUCUGAUGCCGCCCGACCCCCACGCAGGCCUUCCUCCCAUUGCUAUACCCUCGUCUCCCAAAGUUCUUCCUUCAGCUAGGGGGACCCCCUUCCCGAAUCCUGCUGCGGGGUGGGGGUGUCUCGGUGCCCUGUUGGCUCCCACGCUUAGAAUUAGCCGCUUAAUCACUUCUCCUUCUCCUGAUGCUGGAUCUUCGAAAUUUGCCCACCGCCGGAGUGCAGUGCCUUCCUCCCAGGGCACCUCUAUUUUUAGCACACCCCGCUUCUCACCUCCCCACCCUCGGUCUCACAUUCAGGACCCUCCCUGGGUCUUCCCUCUCUUCUGUCUACCGGCAUUUCUAUUUCUCUCUUUUCUCCUUCCCCUUUUUAAAAGUUGUGUUGGGCAGAGAAAAGGACCCCUUUCUUCUGAUAGGUGGAAUAAUAAUACUUACGGAGUGCGUAGAACGUGCCAAACCUGUGCUACGCACUUGGGGUAUGUGCCUUAUUGUGAUGAUUAAUAAAUAAGUUGCUACGUGUAAAGUGCGUUGAACAGUGCCUGGCACAUAGGCAGUGCCCAGUUACUAUUAAUCAUGACCAUCAUUAUCACUCUUAUUUAAACUUCUCCUGGGGGUAGCUGUUAUUCCAAAUUACAGAUGAAGACACCAAGGUGCAGUUUCAGAGCGGAGCUGCCCUGCAAACCCAGAUUUGCAAACCCCCGCACUGUGGAGUUGGGUUCCUGGACCCUUGCCCACUCAGCGACAAAUGUUCUCAGAGCCCCUUUCUGCCUCUGGGCUUGGUGGAGAAGGGCCUAGAACUGUGACUGCCACCUGGUAACCCUCAGCAAACGUUUGGUGAAUGAAAGAACGAUCACGUGAUUCCUUACUUGCCAACAGAGAUUUAUCACAACCAGUCUGGGAGACAAUCAUGACAAACACCUGGCCUUUACGGAUGGCCCAGGAAUGGUCACUACGGGCUACCAUUUACCUUUUACGUGGAUGAUGUUACUUAGCUCCUCAGCAACCUAUGAUGUGGGUGUUACUAUCCCCACUUCACGGAUUAAACGGCUGAGGCCUGUGGAAGUUAAGGAAAACUUGUCCAAGGCCUUAAGCUGGUAAACACCA
Long non-coding RNA from Aethalodelphis obliquidens (Pacific white-sided dolphin), 1246 nucleotides. RefSeq lists it as uncharacterized. Lineage: Eukaryota; Metazoa; Chordata; Mammalia; Artiodactyla; Delphinidae. The record is from RefSeq and is a predicted model, not a curated record. The transcript has 2 exons.